AGCAGUAGCCGCGGUAAUACGUAGGGUGCAAGCGUUAAUCGGAAUUACUGGGCGUAAAGCGUGCGCAGGCGGUUAUAUAAGUCAGAUGUGAAAUCCCCGGGCUCAACCUGGGAACUGCAUUUGAGACUGUAUGGCUAGAGUGUGUCAGAGGGGGGUAGAAUUCCACGUGUAGCAGUGAAAUGCGUAGAUAUGUGGAGGAAUACCGAUGGCGAAGGCAGCCCCCUGGGAUAACACUGACGCUCAUGCACGAAAGCGUGGGGAGCAAACAGGAUUAGAUACCCCCGUAGUCCCUGUCUCUUAUAC
RNAcentral lists this ribosomal RNA (303 nucleotides) under uncultured bacterium. Its description in RNAcentral is "partial 16S ribosomal RNA". It matches the Rfam family "Bacterial small subunit ribosomal RNA", at positions 507 to 807 of the family's 1533-position model. The record is from RNAcentral.